UUCUUUGGCACAUUGGAGAUGGUAGCAGAGCUAAGUUCUGAGCUGAUAACUGGUUGGGGGAUUGUGGACCUCUAAAUUUUUUGACUUUUCAACCAGUGGAUGAACCCUUAUUGUCUAAUUGUGUAAAAGACCUUGUUACUUCGGAGGGCCAGUGGAACUGGGACUUGUUACACACAAUGUUUCCUGUGAAUGUGCUUUUUCAGUUGGCUGCACUCAUUGUUCU
Molecule: long non-coding RNA, 223 nt
Filed under: Carica papaya (papaya)
Lineage: Eukaryota; Viridiplantae; Streptophyta; Magnoliopsida; Brassicales; Caricaceae
Description: long non-coding RNA (CPAP_LNC015840)
Source: RNAcentral